This is a non-coding RNA of Schistosoma margrebowiei, 45 nucleotides long. Lineage: Eukaryota; Metazoa; Platyhelminthes; Trematoda; Strigeidida; Schistosomatidae. The record is from Rfam.
AUCUAGUCGACGAGUCCCAAAUAGGACGAAAUGUGUGUCUUAUAU